UGAAGUCAACCAAUCAUCACAGACACAGUUUACAUUUCUGUUGUGGAUUUGUUCUGUUUCAUGUUUCUUGACGAUAGCUGUCCAGAAAUGUUCCUAAUAUUUUUAUUUCUGUACACCAAGGUCGAUGUUCUUCCUUGACUGGGACUCUUCAUCCAAUCCAAACUCACAAACACAACAAACCACACAACUGUCUGCAGAGCGGUAAAUCUGCUGCAGCGGGGAUGAGUGACGGGAGGGGCUGGCUGCUUCCAGGGGGGUCAGCUGGUCCAGAAGGAAAGAAAGGCCUGCUCCCAGUCCCCGAGCACCCCAAGGGUCAACAGGACCCCACACCCUCGACACGAACCCCGCCCAGACCCAAUCGGACCUCCGCAUGCUGCUCGGUAAUCACCUGGGCUGGACCUCAGUGUAACAGAUCCCAGGUUCUCUGCAGGAGGGAGGUCAGCUUCUACAUGAUGCAGUAAGAGACCAGAUAGAGACCAGAUAUGGGCCCCAUAGAGAGCAGAUAGAGGCCCAAUAUAGGCCAGAUAAAGACCAGAUAGAGAAAAGAUAGAGACCAGCUAGAGGCCUGAUAGAGACCAUAUAGAGACCAGAUAGAGGGAUGGCCAAGACCUGAUAGAGACCAGAUAGAGGCCGAAUAGAGACCUUAUAGACACCAGAUAAAGGCCUGAUAGAGACCAGAUAAAGACCCAACAUACAUAUACCCCCAAAAGCGGUAUUAAGAUUAGAGGGAAUUGCAGUUUGAGUUCAGUUUCCACAACUCGUGAUGUAUAUGUAUUUAUAUAUGUAUGUAUAAACCUGUAUUUAUAUAAGUAGAUAUACAUGCAUAUUUAUAUACACACACAUUCAGUGUACCAAGCUGCUCUCAGAGGUGAAGAGGUUGUGAGGCCUGAAAGAGUUCAUUUAAAACUAAAUUUACGAUCUGAACUUCGUCUCCGUCUCGUUUUACCGCCGAGCGUCCCGUCAGCGGGAUCCACCCAACCCGCCCGAGCAGGUGUCUCCAUCU
Long non-coding RNA from Gasterosteus aculeatus aculeatus (three-spined stickleback), 1003 nucleotides. The record is from Ensembl. Lineage: Eukaryota; Metazoa; Chordata; Actinopteri; Perciformes; Gasterosteidae.